Callithrix jacchus (white-tufted-ear marmoset) is the source of this 109-nucleotide Y RNA. It matches the Rfam family "Y RNA". Rfam says of the family: Y RNAs are components of the Ro ribonucleoprotein particle (Ro RNP), in association with Ro60 and La proteins. The Y RNAs and Ro60 and La proteins are well conserved, but the function of the Ro RNP is not known. The record is from Ensembl. NCBI's taxonomy places the organism in Eukaryota, Metazoa, Chordata, Mammalia, Primates, Cebidae.
GGCUGGUCUGAAGGUAGUGUUAUCUCAAUUGAUGGUGCAGUCAGUUACAGACUGAACUCCUUGUUCCACUCUUUCCCCGCUUCUUACUACUGCACUUGACUAGUCUUAA